AUUGAACGCUGGCGGCAUGCCUUACACAUGCAAGUCGAACGGUAACAGGCCGCAAGGUGCUGACGAGUGGCGAACGGGUGAGUAAUGCAUCGGAACGUGCCCAGUCGUGGGGGAUAACUGCUCGAAAGAGCAGCUAAUACCGCAUACGACCUGAGGGUGAAAGCGGGGGACCGGUAAGGCCUCGCGCGAUUGGAGCGGCCGAUGUCAGAUUAGGUAGUUGGUGAGGUAAAGGCUCACCAAGCCGACGAUCUGUAGCUGGUCUGAGAGGACGACCAGCCACACUGGGACUGAGACACGGCCCAGACUCCUACGGGAGGCAGCAGUGGGGAAUUUUGGACAAUGGACGCAAGUCUGAUCCAGCCAUGCCGCGU
This 371-nucleotide ribosomal RNA is filed under the name uncultured bacterium. RNAcentral's name for it is "bacterial SSU rRNA". It matches the Rfam family "Bacterial small subunit ribosomal RNA", at positions 29 to 402 of the family's 1533-position model. The record is from RNAcentral.